AACGCAUAUUGCGCUCUUUGGUAUUCCGAAGAGCAUGCUUGUUUGAGUAUCAGUAAACACCUCAAAGCUUUUGAUUUUUUUUUGAAAGCUUUGGACUUGAGCAAUCCCAACACCAAUCUUUUUUAGAUUGGAGGCGGGUUGCUUGAAAUGCAGGUGCAGCUGGACAUUCUCCUGAGCUAAAAGCAUAUUCAUUUAGUCCCGUCAAACGGAUUAUUACUUUUGCUGCAGCUAACAUAAAGGGAGUUUGACCGUAUUGGCUGACUGAUGCAGGAUUUCACAGGGGUCGGCAACGACGCUUGUUAAACUCGAUCUCAAAUCAAGUAAGACUACCCGCUGAACUUAA
Molecule: unclassified non-coding RNA, 343 nt
Filed under: uncultured Mortierella
Lineage: Eukaryota; Fungi; Mortierellomycota; Mortierellomycetes; Mortierellales; Mortierellaceae
Description: sequence contains ITS2
Source: RNAcentral